GACAGACAGGACAGGGACAGGGGGACACGGGGACAUGCAGGGCUGAGGGGGGGCUGGGAGGGGGUGGGGAGGAGGCGCCUACCUUCUGGCAAACCUGAAAGACAGAUUUCUACAAAGACAAACAGAAAGAAGGUGGCGUUGGGGGGCGGCGCUGGGGGGCUGGGGGAGCCACCCCCUCCCCGCAAUGGGGUCACCCCACCUCUCCCCCCCCCCCAGACUGCCCCCGAGUCUCCCAGAAGGAGGUGGGAUCAGCACAGGGAGGGGAUAAUGGGGGAUCAGCACAGGGAGGGGACAAUGGGGGACACAGAGGGGACAAAGGGGGACACAGAGGGGACAAAGGGGGACCCUGGGUGGGGACAGCGGUGGCACAAAUGGGGGAUGAAGACAAGAGGAGCACAGAGGCACCACAGGCAGCCUUGGAGUGAGGAUGAAGGGGACAUGGAGGGGACAAAGGGGGACAUAGAGGGGACAAAGGGGGUCCCUGGGUGGGGAUAGUGGUGGCACAAAUGGGAGAUGACGACAAGAGGAGCACAGAGGCACCUACAGCAGCCUUGGAGUGGGGAUGAAGGGGACAUGGAGGGGAUGAGGAAGACACAGAAGGGACAAAGGGGGACAUGGAGGGAACAAAGGGGGACCCUGGGGUGGGGGCAGCGGUGGCAUAAAUGGGGGAUGACGACAAGAGGAGCACAGAGGCACCUAGAGCAGCCUUGGAGCGGGGAUGAAGCAGACACAGAGGGGAUGUGGGGAACCCCGGGGUGGGGACAGAGGGAGAACACAGAGGGGACGUAGGGAACACGGAGGAGCCACAGAUGGACCCCGGAACGGAGCCGACGGGGGGGGGAACACAGAAGGAAGAGAUGGAAGGAAGAGGAGGAGCCAGGCGCUCACCUGCGCACGAACUUGGAGUGAGUUGGGACCCAGGCUGGCGCGGUCGAGCAGCGGGGAGUUGCGGCUGCGCGUGGUGCCGGUGGAGAGCACGCUGUUCUGUGGGACAGGUGGGGAGAGCAAGGUGAUACCCCAAAAUUGGAGGGGGAGGGAUCCCAAAAUUAACCCAGGGAGGGGNNNNNNNNNNNNNNNNNNNNNNNNNNNNNNNNNNNNNNNNNNNNNNNNNNNNAGUGUCCCAAAACUGGGAGCCAGGUGUCUCGGUGCCCCAGAAUGCAGGACUCGGGUAUCCUGAAACCCCAAACAAACUGGCAAGCCAAAAUAGGAGUUCCAUUGUUACAGAACCCCAAGUUCACCCCCAAAACAAGGGACUCAGGCACCCCAAAACACACAACCCAGGUGUUCCAGCCCCCCAGACAGACCACAGACGGUGAUCACCCCAAAACAAGGGACUCAGGCACCCCCAAAACACACAACCCAGGUGUCCCAGCCCCCCAACCCCAGCUCCAGACUGACUGUGGAUGGUGAUCACCCCAAAACAAGGGACUCAGGCACCCCCAAAACACAUGACCCAGGUGUUCCAGCCCCCCAGACAGACCACAGAUGGUGAUCACCCCAAAACAAGGAACUCAGGCACCCCCAAAAUACACGACCCAGGUGUCCCAGCCACCCAACCCCAGCCCCAGACUGACUGUGGAUGGUGAUAAUCCCAAAACACACGACCCAAGUGUCCCAACCC
This 1621-nucleotide long non-coding RNA is filed under the name Phasianus colchicus (ring-necked pheasant). RNAcentral describes it as "lncRNA (ENSPCLG00000013906.1)". The record is from RNAcentral. Lineage: Eukaryota; Metazoa; Chordata; Aves; Galliformes; Phasianidae.